This 383-nucleotide unclassified non-coding RNA is filed under the name uncultured Planctomycetota bacterium. RNAcentral's name for it is "uncultured planctomycete contains 16S-23S intergenic spacer region". The record is from RNAcentral. Lineage: Bacteria; Pseudomonadati; Planctomycetota.
UCCAGCUUGCGCGGCAGUCCGGCUAGAGUCCCCGCCAUGACGCGAUGGUAACUAACCGUAGGGGUUUCGCUCGUUAAAGGACUUAACCUGACACCUCACGGCACGAGCUGACGACAGCCAUGCAGCACCUGUUCCGGUUACACCCUUGCGGGCAAUCAAUAGGCUUUCACCUACAUAAUCCCGGUAUGUCAAGACCUGGUAAGGUUCUUCGCGUUGCUUCGAAUUAAACCACAUCCUCCACCGCUUGUGUGAGCCCCCGUCAAUUCCUUUGAGUUUCAGUCUUGCGACCGUAUUCCCCAGGCGGAGCACUUACCAAAUUGUCUGCGGCCGUCACCCCGUAACAGGGCGGCGACCUAGUGCUCAUCGUUUACGGCGUGGACUAC